AUUGAACGCUGGCGGCAGGCCUAACACAUGCAAGUCGAGCGGAUGAAGGGAGCUUGCUCCUGGAUUCAGCGGCGGACGGGUGAGUAAUGCCUAGGAAUCUGCCUGGUAGUGGGGGAUAACGUCCGGAAACGGGCGCUAAUACCGCAUACGUCCUGAGGGAGAAAGUGGGGGAUCUUCGGACCUCACGCUAUCAGAUGAGCCUAGGUCGGAUUAGCUAGUUGGUGGGGUAAAGGCCUACCAAGGCGGCGAUCCGUAACUGGUCUGAGAGGAUGAUCAGUCACACUGGAACUGAGACACGGUCCAGACUCCUACGGGAGGCAGCAGUGGGGAAUAUUGGACAAUGGGCGAAAGCCUGAUCCAGCCAUGCCGCGUGUGUGAAGAAGGUCUUCGGAUUGUAAAGCACUUUAAGUUGGGAGGAAGGGCAGUAAGUUAAUACCUUGCUGUUUUGACGUUACCAACAGAAUAAGCACCGGUUAACUUCGUG
Molecule: ribosomal RNA, 484 nt
Filed under: uncultured bacterium
Lineage: Bacteria
Description: partial 16S ribosomal RNA
Rfam family: Bacterial small subunit ribosomal RNA
Source: RNAcentral